CCGGACGAGGUGUUUGUGGAGGGGAGUGGUCAGCAGCCAGAGAGACCUCCCAAAGAUCCAGCAGCAAGGUGGAUGAGGAGGGACUGGAGCUUGCAGUGUGUAGGCAUGGAGUGCUGCUCCGUGCUCUAAAUAUGUACAGGGGUGAAAUUUUUGCUUAUCCCUUGUACCUGCAACAAAAGCUGGCCAAUAGACAUAUCACUUUUUUUUGUAUGGAUGUUACCUGCAAGUAUUGGCCAUAUCUUGAAAGAGUAACAAAAAGCUGUCCAGAGCUCCAGCACCUUCUUAGCAUGAAGCCAUUUCUUUCAGUCUUUCAUGCUAAAGCCCACGAUUUCAAAUGUGAGGUGAAAUGGAGUGGAGCAUAUCAAGAUGGGGCUGGUUUGACUCUAGGGGAGGAGGUAGAGCAAUGUAAUGCCUUUUUGUCAAGGAUUGCAGUUACCACAAAACAUAUGUCCAAAGCAGGACGGAGUGACAUGCUAACUCUUAUGGCCAUGCGCUGGAAUCAACAAAAGCUAGACCAGUUGGCCACCUCUCUGACCCAUCGAUAUCAGAAGGCCACAAAAGCUCUUCUAACCCAGCUUCAGAACCUGGAGUCCUUAAAAGUCCAAUUAGCAGUGACUGACAGUCAACUGGAUGAAUGGGUCAGUGAUGUAAAGGAUUGGGCAGAAGCAACAACAAGCACAAGUGAUAUUGAUCCCUUGGUGAGCAGAAUCGAAGUGCUCGUAGCGAGCAUAAAGAGACGAUCCCAGCGUCUGUACAAAGACACCGAUGGAAAUAAAGCCCGUGCCAAGAUUCGUCGCAAGAUCAGAGAAGAGAAAGGAAUCUUGACUUCUGCUGUGGAAAAAUACAACAGAAUGUUUCCAGACAAAGAAACUCUGUGCUUGGAAGAAAUUCUGUCUGGUGACACAAGCUGGCCGUGGCAGCGGGCACACAGCG
This is a long non-coding RNA of Astatotilapia calliptera (eastern happy), 933 nucleotides long. The record is from Ensembl. Lineage: Eukaryota; Metazoa; Chordata; Actinopteri; Cichliformes; Cichlidae.